AUCUAAGUACCCCGAGGAAAAGAAAUCAACCGAGAUUCCCCCAGUAGCGGCGAGCGAACGGGGAGGAGCCCAGAGCCUGAAUCAGCAUGUGUGUUAGUGGAAGCGUCUGGAAAGGCGCGCGAUACAGGGUGACAGCCCCGUACACAAAAGCGCAUGUGCUGUGAGCUCGAUGAGUAGGGCGGGACACGUGGUAUCCUGUCUGAAUAUGGGGGGACCAUCCUCCAAGGCUAAAUACUCCUGACUGACCGAUAGUGAACCAGUACCGUGAGGGAAAGGCGAAAAGAACCCCGGCGAGGGGAGUGAAAAAGAACCUGAAACCGUGUACGUACAAGCAGUGGGAGCACAGGUUUACCUGUGUGACUGCGUACCUUUUGUAUAAUGGGUCAGCGACUUAUAUUCUGUAGCAAGGUUAACCGAAUAGGGGAGCCGUAGGGAAACCGAGUCUUAAC
Molecule: ribosomal RNA, 449 nt
Filed under: Salmonella enterica
Lineage: Bacteria; Pseudomonadati; Pseudomonadota; Gammaproteobacteria; Enterobacterales; Enterobacteriaceae
Also listed under: 1 other name
Description: partial 23S ribosomal RNA
Rfam family: Bacterial large subunit ribosomal RNA
Source: RNAcentral